AUUCUCAGUGAGUCACUUACCAUUUGGAUUCUCUCAAUUGACCUAUUUUCCCUGAGCCUCUUGAGCCAUUCAGAGUUCAUUUUUAUGUGUCCUUUUAGCUGUGAGAAACAAGACCAGAGCCCUCCUUCUCUUUGUUUCGCCUGUAUCUUCUUGGCUCAUUAUCUUGCAGAGCAGACAGGCUUUCUCUGGGUGACUGAAAACAAGGCCGCCACCCUCUCCAACUUCAGAUUCUUCCUGAUCCAUCCCCCAGGCACAAGGCCCUCCUCCAACUCCAGCUGAAAAAAAUCCCAGGGAAGGACUUUGAUUGGCCUUGUUUGAGUCACAUGUUUCCCUCACCAAGGGGUUAGUCUUGUGAUGACCACACAGUCCUUCACCAUGUGUCUGGAGUUAGGGCAGAAGAAGGUGCAGCGCCCCCAGAACACGGGUGGGCAGUGCUGGAGCGGAAAUUUCUGUUGGACGGCACCGAUGUGGACACUCCACAGAAGCCAAACACACAGCAGAAUGAGCCAAGAACACGCUGGUGAUGAGGGCAAGACACGUACAGAACAAGGAGGGAGCAGACGCCGGAGGGCAGGGUAACCA
This 582-nucleotide long non-coding RNA is filed under the name Callithrix jacchus (white-tufted-ear marmoset). RNAcentral's name for it is "lncRNA (ENSCJAG00000086018.1)". Lineage: Eukaryota; Metazoa; Chordata; Mammalia; Primates; Cebidae. The record is from RNAcentral.